AUCGCUUCUUGGCCUUUUGGCUAAGAUCAUGUGUAGUAUAUUGCUCUGACAUGUAUUGAGGCCCCAACAAGGACCCAACCUGAUUAUUUGAAACUAAUGGCCCAGUGCACAGAUUUGUGCACACUGAAAGAAAAUUAAUUGGAAGAAAGAUUCGUGUGGUAAUUACAUUAUUGCAAAUAAUU
This is a small nuclear RNA of Myotis myotis, 182 nucleotides long. RefSeq annotates it as U2 spliceosomal RNA. The record is from RefSeq and is a predicted model, not a curated record. NCBI's taxonomy places the organism in Eukaryota, Metazoa, Chordata, Mammalia, Chiroptera, Vespertilionidae. The transcript has a single exon.